Molecule: long non-coding RNA, 1220 nt
Filed under: Salmo salar (Atlantic salmon)
Lineage: Eukaryota; Metazoa; Chordata; Actinopteri; Salmoniformes; Salmonidae
Description: lncRNA (ENSSSAG00000096056.1)
Source: RNAcentral
AACACUAGUGAUUUACUAGGCUAGUAGUACUUGACUAGUACUGUGCUCACAACAAUUCCAGAGGGGUGUGGCCAAACAGCAGCAAAACAAUUCAGAUGUGUAAAAUCAGGGAAAGGCUUGACAAUUUAUCGGCAUAUCUCUGAUUGCAGUGCAUUAUAAAUAUAUUUCCAGUGAUCUGCCCAUUCCUGAAUUCAUCUGUAUGACAACACAGGCACCGGUUAACAUCUCAAAAUUACUUAAAAAAACUAUUUGGUUAUUCAGGAAGGCAAUUCUUCUCAUUUGUCAUUGUAAAACACUGCUAAUCUUUAAAAUCAUUAGCAUCAGGCAAUACGAAGAAAACCUGUCUUGCAGGUUUGGUUAGACCAAAAAGUUAGCAGAGUUGGGAUGGGCUCCAAGCCGUUGUCCAUGCUACAUUUUAUUUAGUGAAUGUUUUUUCCUGUUAAAUGAGUGCCCUCAUGUUCUGUUGCUAGGUCUAUGUGAGCUGCAUCCUCAGGCUGAUGGCAUACAUUUCAGAAACUCCUUUCAGAUUAUAAUUUCUGUUAAAAUUCCCUCCGCUUUCAGAUCUCUCCCAAGACACAGGCAAAGGUAGGCUAUCAGUCUCAGCAAUGUUGAGUAAACAUUGAACGUUGAAUUUUACAUUCACAACUGAUUUGGCUGAGGUAGGUGGUCUGCAGAAAUCUUAAAGAAUUUCUUCACUUACUUUUCACUGCCUCGAGAAGGACAAAUGACUUGACACCCUCUGAAUAAUUAGACUUCUGUUAAUUGGACUCGAUCCAAGAUGAUCUCUACCUUUCAAACCUCUGGUGUGUUUUUCAAUUAGUGGCAAGGCGGGAGGAGCCACGCAACAUGAGCUUUGAUCAGUGUUCAUAUCCCAGUGUUCAGAGACAGUUUGUGGUUUUGUCGCGUUUUACAGUUCAUUUUCUAAGCUCCUCAUUUGACUCAAUUAGCCGAGAAACUAAGAGGAGAAAAUAUUGGUAGAUAUGAAGGUAUCACUUUCCUGUUCAAGCUCCUGUUCUUGUUCUGGUGCCAAUGAUGAUUCAAUACCUUUUUCACUUCUCAGAUAAAAGGUUUUUUCACAUUCUAAAUUGUGGCAAAGCAUUGCUGCUAUCACAAUACUUAAGGUUUCUAGUAUUGUCCCCCAACUGUUCAGACCCUCUCACUUCCGAUCACACAAAUAGCUGGACAUAAAUAUCUAAAUGCAAAAAAAUAAAUGCAUAUUU